GAUUGCAGUCUCUCUCUCUCUCUCUCUCUCCUCUCUCUCUCCCUCUCCCUCAAUCUCUGUCUCUCUCUCUCUCCUCUUCCUUCCCGUCCCAAUGCAGGUAACCAGAUCUGAACUUGAUCCUUUCUUUCAGUUCAAAGAGAAGUGUUGGUGGCUCUGAAGGCGCUUUCACGGCAGAGCGGCGCUUGGGCUUUAAAAAAAAAAUGUUGAAUGGCAACUGAGAAGCUUCCUACUCGGAAAAGAAGAAGGAAAAAAAAAA
Calidris pugnax (ruff) is the source of this 256-nucleotide long non-coding RNA. RefSeq lists it as uncharacterized. The record is from RefSeq and is a predicted model, not a curated record. The transcript has 2 exons. Lineage: Eukaryota; Metazoa; Chordata; Aves; Charadriiformes; Scolopacidae.